UGUUUAAUCCAUGGUGCUAGUCUCUGACCUC
This 31-nucleotide non-coding RNA is filed under the name Mus musculus (house mouse). The record is from RNAcentral. Lineage: Eukaryota; Metazoa; Chordata; Mammalia; Rodentia; Muridae.